GACGAACGCUGGCGGCGUGCUUAACACAUGCAAGUCGAACGGAAAGGCCCUGCUUUUGUGGGGUGCUCGAGUGGCGAACGGGUGAGUAACACGUGAGUAACCUGCCCUUGACUUUGGGAUAACUUCAGGAAACUGGGGCUAAUACCGGAUAGGAGCUCCUGCUGCAUGGUGGGGGUUGGAAAGUUUCGGCUGUUGGGGAUGGACUCGCGGCUUAUCAGCUUGUUGGUGGGGUAGUGGCUUACCAAGGCUUUGACGGGUAGCCGGCCUGAGAGGGUGACCGGCCACAUUGGGACUGAGAUACGGCCCAGACUCCUACGGGAGGCAGAAGUGGGGAAUAUUGCACAAUGGGCGGAAGCCUGAUGCAGCAACGCCGCGUGCGGGAUGACGGCCUUCGGGUUGUAAACCGCUUUCGCCUGUGACGAAGCGUGAGUGACGGUAAUGGGUAAAGAAGCACCGGCUAACUACGUG
This 468-nucleotide ribosomal RNA is filed under the name uncultured bacterium. Its description in RNAcentral is "partial 16S ribosomal RNA". It matches the Rfam family "Bacterial small subunit ribosomal RNA", at positions 28 to 507 of the family's 1533-position model. The record is from RNAcentral.